RNAcentral lists this ribosomal RNA (495 nucleotides) under uncultured bacterium. Its description in RNAcentral is "bacterial SSU rRNA". It matches the Rfam family "Bacterial small subunit ribosomal RNA", at positions 8 to 522 of the family's 1533-position model. The record is from RNAcentral.
AGAGUUUGAUCAUGGCUCAGGAUGAACGCUGGCGGCGUGCUUAACACAUGCAAGUCGAACGUUAGAGUGUAGCAAUAUGCUCAAAAGUGGCGAACGGGUGAGUAACACGUAGGUAACCUGCCGCGCAGAGGGGGAUAACGACUGGAAACGGUCGCUAACACCGCAUGGUACUAACUUGACGGGAGUCUGGUUGGUUAAAACCUUGGUGCUGCGCGAGGGGCCUGCGUCCGAUUAGUUAGUUGGUGAGGUAACGGCUCACCAAGACGAUGAUCGGUAGCUGGUCUGAGAGGAUGAUCAGUCACACGGGAACUGAGACACGGUCCCGACUCCUACGGGGGGCAGCAGUGAGGAAUAUUGCACAAUGGACGCAAGUCUGAUGCAGCAACGCCGCGUGGAGGAUGAAGGUCUUUGGAUCGUAAACUCCUUUUCUCAGGGAAGAGAAUGGACGGUACCUGAGGAAUAAGUCACGGCUACUACGUGCCAGCAGCCGCGGUA